This 791-nucleotide ribosomal RNA is filed under the name uncultured bacterium. Its description in RNAcentral is "bacterial SSU rRNA". It matches the Rfam family "Bacterial small subunit ribosomal RNA", at positions 8 to 796 of the family's 1533-position model. The record is from RNAcentral.
AGAGUUUGAUCAUGGCUCAGAUUGAACGCUGGCGGCAUGCCUUACACAUGCAAGUCGAACGGCAGCACGGGGGCAACCCUGGUGGCGAGUGGCGAACGGGUGAGUAAUAUAUCGGAACGUGCCUUAGAGUGGGGGAUAACUAGUCGAAAGACUAGCUAAUACCGCAUACGAUCUACGGAUGAAAGUGGGGGAUCGCAAGACCUCAUGCUCCUAGAGCGGCCGAUAUCUGAUUAGCUAGUUGGUGAGGUAAAGGCUCACCAAGGCGACGAUCAGUAGCUGGUCUGAGAGGACGACCAGCCACACUGGGACUGAGACACGGCCCAGACUCCUACGGGAGGCAGCAGUGGGGAAUUUUGGACAAUGGGCGCAAGCCUGAUCCAGCAAUGCCGCGUGAGUGAAGAAGGCCUUCGGGUUGUAAAGCUCUUUUGUCAGGGAAGAAACGGUGCGGGCUAAUAUCCUGUGCUAAUGACGGUACCUGAAGAAUAAGCACCGGCUAACUACGUGCCAGCAGCCGCGGUAAUACGUAGGGUGCAAGCGUUAAUCGGAAUUACUGGGCGUAAAGCGUGCGCAGGCGGUUGUGUAAGACAGGUGUGAAAUCCCCGGGCUUAACCUGGGAAUGGCAUUUGUGACUGCACGGCUAGAGUGUGUCAGAGGGGGGUAGAAUUCCACGUAGCAGUGAAAUGCGUAGAGAUGUGGAGGAAUACCGAUGGCGAAGGCAGCCCCCUGGGAUAACACUGACGCUCAUGCACGAAAGCGUGGGGAGCAAACAGGAUUAGAUACCCUAGUAGUCC